GCUAUAUAUAUUUUGGCGGUUCUAGUGAUUAUGGCGGUUUUAACUGCCGUUUUCACACACAUAUAAAAGGAAAAAAAUUCUAAUCCCUGACUCAUUCAACGCCAUUCUUCGUUCUAGCUAGGGCUUCUCCUCUCUGAAGUCUGAACAAACGACGCUAUCAUCUCCUCCGUGUAAAGAAGCUCUCCGACAACGCCGUUCUUCCUUCUAGGGCUUCUCCUCUCUCCGCCGGUUACGAUCUCUCCAGCUCUGUUAGGGAUUUUUGGGUCUUCCGUUGAAGUAUUGAUGUUGGUACAGGGUGAUUGACGAUGAUCUCAGGGGCUAGAACUAUUAACACAAGAAAAUAUUUAUAUCAGCCAUGUGACAUUCAUAAUCAUUGAUAGAUAGAGUGAGCUGGUUCAAGAAACAAGCUAUCUUUGUGUGCUGUUGACAAAUUACCAAUUAUCCCUACUGCACUAGAAUUAAUUGGGAUACUAUUUACUACGUGGUUUACAUAUCGAUAUCUCUUGUUCAAGCCUGAUUGGUUAAGGCAUUGACAGGCCAAUUUCCUGCUGCUAUUCCACUUGCUUUGGUACUGAAACAAUUUUUGGCAGACUGGAGCCUUGAUCAGUCCUACUCUGGUGGCUUAAGCUCGUAUUGUUUGGUUUUAGAUCUUCUUCAACUCUUGCUGCUAGCUACUUUACUUUGAAAAAAGAAGGAAAAUUAUCAUUUGAAAGAGGGAUUGGAUCAAGAGAGUGAGAUUCCAUCACCAAGAGAGUUAG
Long non-coding RNA from Arachis duranensis, 758 nucleotides. RefSeq lists it as uncharacterized. The record is from RefSeq and is a predicted model, not a curated record. NCBI's taxonomy places the organism in Eukaryota, Viridiplantae, Streptophyta, Magnoliopsida, Fabales, Fabaceae. The transcript is spliced from 8 exons.